This 789-nucleotide ribosomal RNA is filed under the name uncultured bacterium. RNAcentral describes it as "bacterial SSU rRNA". It matches the Rfam family "Bacterial small subunit ribosomal RNA", at positions 8 to 796 of the family's 1533-position model. The record is from RNAcentral.
AGAGUUUGAUCAUGGCUCAGGAUGAACGCUAGCGGCAAGCUUAAUACAUGCAAGUCGAGGGGAGCAUGGGUAGCAAUACCUGAUGGCGACCGGCAAACGGGUGCGGAACACGUACGCAACCUUCCCAAAACUGGUGAAUAGCCUUUCGAAAGAGAGAUUAAUACACCGUAACAUAACGAGCAGGCAUCUUCUUGUUAUUAUAGUAGCAAUACGUUGGAUGGGCGUGCGCCUGAUUAGAUAGUUGGCGGGGUAACGGCCCACCAAGUCUGCGAUCAGUAACUGGUGUGAGAGCACGACCAGUCACACGGGCACUGAGACACGGGCCCGACUCCUACGGGAGGCAGCAGUAAGGAAUAUUGGUCAAUGGACGCAAGUCUGAACCAGCUAUGCCGCGUGAAGGAUGAAGGUCCUCUGGAUUGUAAACUUCUUUUAUCUGGGACGAAAAAAGCUCAUUCUUGAGCACUUGACGGUACCAGAGGAAUAAGCACCGGCUAACUCCGUGCCAGCAGCCGCGGUAAUACGGAGGGUGCAAGCGUUAUCCGGAUUCACUGGGUUUAAAGGGUGCGUAGGUGGGCAGGUAAGUCAGUGGUGAAAUCUCCGAGCUUAACUCGGAAACUGCCAUUGAUACUAUCUGUCUUGAAUUAUCUGGAGGUGAGCGGAAUAUGUCAUGUAGCGGUGAAAUGCUUAGAUAUGACAUAGAACCCAAUUGCGAAGGCAGCUCCUACGGAUAUAUUGACACUGAGGCACGAAAGCGUGGGGAUCAAACAGGAUUAGAUACCCUAGUAGUCC